UUCUCAUCUCAAUCCUUUUAAUUCAUCUUCCUGGUCAAUCAUUAUCUGCCUUGCAGAGUUCGCAGGAAAAACAACUGAACAAAUCCUUUAUAACCUUUUCUAUCACCAAAAACUACAACUUCCUCAGAUGCUACUCAAUCUAUAUCAUGCACCAAUACUAGAAGCUGAUCAAAAGAUUCACAGGUCUCAACUUAAUCCAACUACUUAAUCGU
Molecule: long non-coding RNA, 212 nt
Filed under: Ananas comosus (pineapple)
Lineage: Eukaryota; Viridiplantae; Streptophyta; Magnoliopsida; Poales; Bromeliaceae
Description: long non-coding RNA (ACOM_LNC038744)
Source: RNAcentral